Acanthosepion pharaonis is the source of this 114-nucleotide non-coding RNA. The record is from the annotation of a GenBank genome assembly. NCBI's taxonomy places the organism in Eukaryota, Metazoa, Mollusca, Cephalopoda, Sepiida, Sepiidae.
UAUGGCCAUAUCACCUUGAAACACCAGUUCUCGUUCAAUCACUGAAGUUAAGCAAUGUCAAGCCUGGUCAGUAGCUAGAUAGGUGAAUGCUUGGUAGUUCCUAGGUGUUGUAAG